GGUUUCAUGGUGUAAUUGGUAGCACGCACAGCACAGAGGAAUACGCUGUGAGAUUCAGGUUCAAGUCCUGAUGAAGCCC
Molecule: transfer RNA, 79 nt
Filed under: Cadophora sp. MPI-SDFR-AT-0126
Lineage: Eukaryota; Fungi; Ascomycota; Leotiomycetes; Helotiales; Ploettnerulaceae
Description: Leotiomycetes sp. MPI-SDFR-AT-0126 tRNA-Leu
Rfam family: tRNA
About the family: Transfer RNA (tRNA) molecules are approximately 80 nucleotides in length. Their secondary structure includes four short double-helical elements and three loops (D, anti-codon, and T loops). Further hydrogen bonds mediate the characteristic L-shaped molecular structure. tRNAs have two regions of fundamental functional importance: the anti-codon, which is responsible for specific mRNA codon recognition, and the 3' end, to which the tRNAs corresponding amino acid is attached (by aminoacyl-tRNA synthetases). tRNAs cope with the degeneracy of the genetic code in two manners: having more than one tRNA (with a specific anti-codon) for a particular amino acid; and 'wobble' base-pairing, i.e. permitting non-standard base-pairing at the 3rd anti-codon position.
Source: RNAcentral